UACGUAGGGCGCAAGCGUUGUCCGGAAUUAUUGGGCGUAAAGAGCUCGUAGGCGGUUUGUCGCGUCUGCCGUGAAAGUCCGGGGCUCAACUCCGGAUCUGCGGUGGGUACGGGCAGACUAGAGUGAUGUAGGGGAGACUGGAAUUCCUGGUGUAGCGGUGAAAUGCGCAGAUAUCAGGAGGAACACCGAUGGCGAAGGCAGGUCUCUGGGCAUUAACUGACGCUGAGGAGCGAAAGCAUGGGAGCGAACAGG
RNAcentral lists this ribosomal RNA (252 nucleotides) under uncultured bacterium. Its description in RNAcentral is "partial 16S ribosomal RNA". It matches the Rfam family "Bacterial small subunit ribosomal RNA", at positions 524 to 776 of the family's 1533-position model. The record is from RNAcentral.